UGCGUAGGGGGCAAGCGUUGUCCGGAAUCAUUGGGCGUAAAGAGCGUGUAGGCGGCCAGAAAAGUCCGCUGUGAAAACUCGAGGCUCAACUUCGAGCUGUCGGUGGAAACUUUCUGGCUAGAGUCCGGAAGAGGAGAAUGGAAUUCCUGGUGUAGCGGUGAAAUGCGCAGAUAUCAGGAAGAACACCCGUGGCGAAGGCGGUUCUCUGGGACGGUACUGACGCUGAGACGCGAAAGCGUGGGGAGCGAACAGG
This 253-nucleotide ribosomal RNA is filed under the name uncultured bacterium. RNAcentral's name for it is "partial 16S ribosomal RNA". It matches the Rfam family "Bacterial small subunit ribosomal RNA", at positions 524 to 776 of the family's 1533-position model. The record is from RNAcentral.